CCUACGGGCGGCAGCAGUGAGGAAUAUUGGUCAAUGGGCGCAAGCCUGAACCAGCCAAGUCGCGUGAGGGAUGACGGUCCUAUGGAUUGUAAACCUCUUUUGUCGGGGAGCAAGGCCCGCCACGUGUGGCGGGUAGGAGAGUACCCGAAGAAAAAGCAUCGGCUAACUCCGUGCCAGCAGCCGCGGUAAUACGGAGGAUGCGAGCGUUAUCCGGAUUUAUUGGGUUUAAGGGGUGCGUAGGCGGAAGGUUAAGUCAGCGGUAAAAUGUCGGUGCUCAACACCGGCCUGCCGUUGAAACUGGUCUUCUUGAGUGAGCGAGAAGUAUGCGGAAUGCGUGGUGUAGCGGUGAAAUGCAUAGAUAUCACGCAGAACUCCGAUUGCGAAGGCAGCAUACCGGCGCUCAACUGACGCUGAGGCACGAAAGCGUGGGGAUCGAACAGGAUUAGAUACCCCAGUAGUC
RNAcentral lists this ribosomal RNA (460 nucleotides) under uncultured bacterium. Its description in RNAcentral is "partial 16S ribosomal RNA". It matches the Rfam family "Bacterial small subunit ribosomal RNA", at positions 338 to 795 of the family's 1533-position model. The record is from RNAcentral.